RNAcentral lists this transfer RNA (111 nucleotides) under Metarhizium album ARSEF 1941. It matches the Rfam family "tRNA". Rfam says of the family: Transfer RNA (tRNA) molecules are approximately 80 nucleotides in length. Their secondary structure includes four short double-helical elements and three loops (D, anti-codon, and T loops). Further hydrogen bonds mediate the characteristic L-shaped molecular structure. tRNAs have two regions of fundamental functional importance: the anti-codon, which is responsible for specific mRNA codon recognition, and the 3' end, to which the tRNAs corresponding amino acid is attached (by aminoacyl-tRNA synthetases). tRNAs cope with the degeneracy of the genetic code in two manners: having more than one tRNA (with a specific anti-codon) for a particular amino acid; and 'wobble' base-pairing, i.e. permitting non-standard base-pairing at the 3rd anti-codon position. Lineage: Eukaryota; Fungi; Ascomycota; Sordariomycetes; Hypocreales; Clavicipitaceae. The record is from Rfam by way of RNAcentral.
GGCCGGGUAGCUCAAUGGCAGAGCGUCUGAUUACACAAGUAUCCUUAAGGUAUCCUUAUAGUAUCCUUAUGAGUAAUCAGAAGGUCGCAGGUUCGAUUCCUGCCCUGGCCA